This 652-nucleotide long non-coding RNA is filed under the name Homo sapiens (human). Its description in RNAcentral is "novel transcript". The record is from RNAcentral. Lineage: Eukaryota; Metazoa; Chordata; Mammalia; Primates; Hominidae.
UUCCAGCUGAUGGCUCCACAUCUUGGGGGAAGGCUCUGAUUUCAUGACGGGCUGGGGGCUUCUCAGGAUUCCACAGCCCAAAUGGCGGGACAGUUCAGGGGCUCCAAGACCAUCAGGAGCAUGUGGUACCCACAUCACAACCCAAGACCAUGGGGCAUCUGGACAAGGAAGGUCUAUGCACACAGGGUUCCUCAUUCAGCUGGCUUCUCCGGGUGCUGAAUGAUGGGAUCUCUCUCGGGCUCACCCCGUGCCUGUGGGAUAUGUAUUUGCUGGAAGGGGAACAGAUGUUGAUGCUGAUAACAAGCAUUGCCUUUAAGGUUCAAAGGAGCCUCUAUGAAGAAACUAACAAGGAAACAUGGGGACCUGCCACCCCCAGGGCCCUCAAGGGCACUGGAAGAGCCAGACCCAUUUGUGAGAGCCUCCACUCCUCCCUGCAAGCGCUGACAGCCUCAGAGAGCAGCAGAGGCCCCUCACUCCUGCAGACUCCUCCAAGGGUGCCAGGACAACAAGCCUUGAGCCGGGGAGACAAGGGAAUCAGUGUCUCAUUAUCUCUACCAUCUCUACCAUCUCGGAGAGGGAGAUGUGGCAGGAUAAUAGGGUAAUAGUGGGGUGAGGGUCAGCAGGAAAACAUGAACAAAUGUCUCUGUGUCAU